This 5405-nucleotide long non-coding RNA is filed under the name Anas platyrhynchos (mallard). Its description in RNAcentral is "lncRNA (ENSAPLG00020007545.1)". Lineage: Eukaryota; Metazoa; Chordata; Aves; Anseriformes; Anatidae. The record is from RNAcentral.
AGUCAGUGUUGUGUUGUGGCUGGCGCUGCAGCAGCCUCUGCUGCUGCUGAGCUGUGCCACACAGGGGAGAACCGUCAGGGAAUCCAUCAAGACAUCAAUAUUCCAGUGUUCACUUGUCUCACUCUAAAUGUCUGGUGUUUGUAUUGUUUGAGAUUUGCCCUCUUGCUUUUUCAUGCACUGCAGUCAGCUUGCACCAACACCUUCCAUCCAGUCUUGUAGUGCUUGGGUGACGUUUAUACAGAGUUAAAUCCCUCUCUCCUUGCACGUUCCCGAUGAAGCAAUGUAGAAAAACUGCUUGACAUCCAAACAUUUGUGUAACAGGCAUGUGCUCAGUUUUAACACUGAGUGUAAAUCCAGUCCUUCUCUGUGACACUGGGCAGAAAUCCCAGUGGAAGUUUUUCCUGCCUCUAACCUGUCUACUUUCUUUCAUAAUGAUGAAUGCUGAGAGGGAAAGCCUGAGGGAGGGAAGGGUGGAGCUUUCUAAGCUUUGAAUUGAUCGUGUUUUAAGAAGGAUGGGAAAGAAGAAUGCAGAUUCAUUUAAAACAGAACUUUUAUAUGGCUGAAAUCUUGGAUAUUUUUCUCAUUUUGGUCAUCUUUAGUGUUCUCAUAAGUAAGUCUUAGACUAAAUUCUUACCCGAAGAUGUCUAACCAGGGCCAGGUUCCAAGGGCAGACUCGGGGCUGCAGUCCCAGCCUGCGGGCACCUUGGUGCCUGCCCAGGGACCUCUAAGCUGCUCGGGGUAUGAGGGAUGUGAGGGCGGAGCAGAAAGGAGGAUUCGGAUCAAACAGCCUCAGGAGUCACCAGCACCAGCCCCUGCAGCCAUAAGCCCUCUCCUGGGGGUGCGUUUUUUCUAGAAGGAAACCUGAGGAGCUGCUGCUGUGCCUUCUUUACCUAUACCAUGGUCAACCCCUCACGUUGUGGAACUCCCUAAUCAAUGAACAGGUCUGGAGGUCUAUGGCUGGGGUUCAGAGGCUUCCUGCUGCCACAGGUGCUUUAUCCCUUCAUUACAUUUUGAUUCCCCAUCGUCCUUCCCACUUUACACUCACAGUCUUUGCUACUUAAAACCACAAAGCAAAAUUAAUAUAUUUUAAUUGUUGAAAGCCUUUUACUUGAAAUUUACCACAACGUUAGAAGCUCAUUCUCAGAAUUAAUCAGCCAGGUAGGCCUCCUGGUCAUGACUGCCAUAACAAGUUCCCUGACAGAAGGCAAGCCUGCGGCCUUGCUUGGCCGCCAUCACCACCUGGGCAGCUUCUCUGCUGGGCCAGGCAGCCCCUGCCGAGUUUAAUUUUACACUUCAGUUGAAAUGCAACCUAGGCUGGUCUAUACCUCACGGUGCUGGUGCAAGGAGUGGCUGUGAAUCCCCUCAUGAAACUGAUCUGAACUCUUAAUGCCUACUGUGACCAAGUGACAGAGCCCGGGGCAGUUUCUCAUGUGGCAGUGUUUUUGUGUUAAAGUACAUCUCAUGUUGGACACGGCUUUUUGCUUUUGUUGUACGGUUCCCAAUGUUUUCUUUGCUUUUAUUUUUAAUAUUGAUCCUGUAUUUGUGGAAAGGAAAUCUGUUCAAAACCUUGCUUUCCCCACCAGCAAGUCACAGUCUCAUGAUUUCCGUUACAUCCUACUAUCAAAGCAGUAAAAGCCCUCAAAUCACAUUGAAUUUAGGCUGCCUCUUGUCACAGUCAAGUGCAUGGCACCUCCUUGGAGCAGACCCUUGAAUUAAAAUAUUGUAAAUUUUUUGCUGUUCAAGCAAUACUGCAGAAACACUCGUGGCCAGGGAGGGAGGAGAAUUUUUCCUCCUGCUGGAAUUUUUCACUAUAACCAUCCUCAGGGGAGUUCUCAUCUUCAAAAGAAACAUUCCUUCUAUACAAGCUGCAAAAAGAAUUAUUUAAUGACAUCAUAAAUUAAUACAGAGAGGCACAAAUUUUCCAAAAUGUGGAGAGAGAGGAAAAAAAAAUUAGCGUUUGCCAAAAACACCCCAGCUCUUCCAGACUUAGGCCUCUCUUGAGCCUGCGAGCUGCCAACGAUACCAAAUUGAACGGUGGGGUUUUUGGCAUGGCUAAAGUUUAGCUUGUUUAAAUUUUGGCAAAUAUUCGUAUUACUCACAUACUCAGCAAACUGAUACAAAUAUUUGUUCUAUUUAGAGUGAGGUCCAAAGGCAGUGCUGGCAUCAGCGCUGCUGGACUCGGUGGAACUAUCUUUCUCGUGCCAAUAUUAAAUUUGGACAUCUACCUUAAAGAAAAACAGCCUUUUAGGUACAGAUUAGAAUACAUCAAUGGAAAACAGCCCUCGUGCGUAGCCAAGUUUUCCUCGCUUGCUAAUUUUUGCCUGAAUCUGAGUUGAAAUGGGCCUAGUUUUUCUGCACGCGGGCUGCCGCUCGCUGUUACGAUGCGGCGAGCCACCUAGGCAGAGCUGGAGCUGGAAGGGCCUCCGCACACACCGAGCCCUCCACAUUCCUGAGAAGCAAAAUGUGUUCCUGCUGCCGCACACCGAACCUGGGCGCGGUAACGUUUUAAUGCUGUGCAGGUUGCUGGGUUUGUUUUAGCGGUGGCUGCAGUUUACCGUUUCUAAUUCGAAAAACAAAUAGAGCAUUAACCUCCCACCUCCGGCUCCUCCAGGAGGCUCGGAUACUGUCGGGCUCCGCUUCUGGAGGCCCAGCAGCUUGGCAGAGAGCUGCCCCGUGGGCUGGUGGGGAGCUUGGUGCCGAUCACGCAGCAGCGAGCGGAGCCACAGCCACCAAACCCACCCAGAUGUGAAACACAGAACCGAAGCAGGAACCUGGGUGCCUCCCCCCUUGCCUCUGAGCUCUCUUUGGGAUCAGACACAGAAAGCGAGUUUGAAAUUUUGCAACGAAAACGAAACAAAAGCAAACAGACGCCACCCUUCCAUUCCUUAACUGAACGCAGCCAGAAUGCGCUGCGGGGGUGUGCUGGCUGCGGGUCUGUGUUCGGUUCAGAUGUGGUGUGUGAGCUGGAUGCUAUUUAGUGCUUGCUAAAUGCUUUUGUAAAGGCCGAGUAGGAGUGGGAUCCCCCUAACUUAACUUCAGCCAUUUAGAAAUGGGAAAUCUAGCCUGGCUGAGCUGGAUUCCUCUAUGAGUGGAAAAUAUCAUCGCCAUAGCAUGAUUCAUCCCCUUUUAAUCUAAGUGUCUGAUCUCUCUCCAUUGACUAUAAAAGGAGCCCAGCUGACCAGAUUAGCAUAUACCCAAAUUUUGGGCAUUUCUGUGCUAACUCAGCCUUUUACAACCGGGCCCUGUAGUGGCCAUACCAUGGCCUGUUUUUAAAACUAGGAGCUCGCGGUGUGCCACGGGGGUUCACAGAGCGCCUGCACAGCACCGAACCUCGGCCGUGAGCUUUACAAAAAGCCUGACGGCCGCGUGUGCCCUCGUCUGCUUCCAUCUGAACGUUAAACCCUGCAUUAGCUACGGGUUCAAGGCUCCUCUGCCUUCCCUGCAUGAGCAGAAAGCUGCCGGAACAAUUCUGGUAGGAGUUACUUUCAAAGCUGCCUUAAACCAAUAAAUAUUGCAUUAAUCAAGAGAAGCGGAGGAAAAAUGGUGCAAAAUAGCGGCGGUGAUUAUUCAUGGAAAAGGCCAUUAUUAUUGUUAGUCAUAUUUGUAAAACAGGCAAAGGAGCCAGUCCAGCUUGGCAUGUGGACUCUGGGCUCAUGACCCCAUAAAUUGUAGGCUACGGUGGCAGUGCUCGUCUCGUGGUGUUGAUUCAGUGUCACGGUGAGGAAUGACCCGAGCCUUUCACCUUAUGGCUGCCGAUACCCUCAGACCCCUGCGGCCCCCCAGCCCUGUAGUUCUUCACCACUGUACAUGCAACCGGUCCACGCAUAAGUAUGGGAGCAUCAUUUUGCUGCUCCUGUUACAAGCUGCUUUUAACUUCAGUCUAGCAGUGCUUGUGGUCCACUAAAAAUAAAUAAAAUAAAAUAAAAAAUAAAAAAGGAAAAGAAACACGAAAUACUGAAAACAAACAAAAAAACCCUUAGUCUUGCAGCAGGCAGUUAAAGUUUGCUGGUGUCGCUAUGGCACGGUUAUAAAGGGUCAAGUGUUAAUUUUGGGCAAGUGUUAAUUGGUAUAAUCAGACAGUAGGAAACAGAAGACAGACACAGCAGCCAGUAAUUCACCACGGAAUGUUUUUAUACUAAUUAUUGAAAUGCACCCAGAGACAGUUUAUAGUAGUAAAAUGACUUUAUGUUCUGAUAUGUAAAAUAAAAUGUCCAUGCUAUGUAACAAACAUUUAAAAAUUCCACACCACCUGUAUCUAAUGUGGUUUCUAAUAAAGAUUUAUCUGUAGUAUAUAUGUUUUUUAUCUAACCAAUUCUUAGUUUUUACAUCAAAGGUGUGUAAUAAAAAAAAAUCUUAAAUAGAUGUCUUUCAAAAAAAAACUUGCAACAUUCAUUUUUAUUAAGUAUUUCAUUCGUAAAAAGCAAAGCUGAAUUGGACACGUGGCCUGCAUUUGUGAUAUAUAUAUAUAUAUUUUUAUAUAUAUAUAUAAUAUAUAUAUGUAUAUAAAUAGCUAUUCAGCAUGCAAAAAUUGUAGUGAUUUCCAAAAUCCGAUUACAAAAUCCACACCAGUCACACGCAUGGUUUGCUGAUUUGGUUUAGGACUGUCCGGGUUGAAGCACGACCUCCACCUUAGUGGCUUCAGGGUUGUCUGACUGCGAGCAGCUGCCCUCGUUCACCAGCCUCUCCUCAUUGGAAUGGAUCCAUCCAAACGCAGAAGCACCUCCCGACUUCCAAAUUUGCAUUUCAGCUUUUUGUCUUUGCCCAGGUGGGAAGCAGGGGCAAAAAGCUUCCACCAACCCGCUGUUCACGACUAAGGCUUAAAUGCUGCGCUCUUUAGUGGAACCAGACUCCUAGCACCAUUUCUGUGCUCUCAUCUCUGGGUACACCACGGCAGCGCCAGGAUGCUUGGCGAGACGGAUGCUGCUUGUGCUGCACACUACAGACCAGAGCUCCAGAGCUUUUUGGGUAAAGUAAAUGGGAGUUUGGGUCCAUAAGGAGCACAGCUUUCUCUGCCAUGUGAGUCGGCUCAGUGAUUCUCUCGGCACUGUAGGCAAAGCCAGCACUGGAGUCAGUUCAAGAUACUUCCACGGUAAACAAUAGUAGCAAUGUAUACACUGGUUACAGAUUUUUUACCUGUUCUACAAAUAUUUGUACACUGUAAAGCCUGACAGGUAAUGGGAACUCUUUCCACUCCCACCCCCCAAUUAAAAACCACUUCUCUAUGCCUCCUUUAUGCUGAACACAAUUCUUUCUGAGUUAGCUGCAAAAGAAAAAAAAAAAAAAAACAUAGCACAAAAGGCACAUUUCAGCUGAAUACGAAAGAAAUCAAGGACCAGCAAAUACAGAAAUUGUUUCUGGAAAGUAUUAGCGACUUUUAAGCUUAAACUUCAUAAAUAUAUUGCAAU